Molecule: long non-coding RNA, 428 nt
Filed under: Pongo abelii (Sumatran orangutan)
Lineage: Eukaryota; Metazoa; Chordata; Mammalia; Primates; Hominidae
Description: lincRNA
Source: RNAcentral
UACCAGGACUUCAUAGGAACAGUUAAAACACAAAGGACUUUAUCUGAGGAAAGGUAACAUCCUACAGAAAGAGCUAUUUUGCAGAGAAGGAUGGGACCUGGUGCCAGGGAAGACGCUGCUGCCACCCAAAAGUUGACCCUCCAUCAUCUCUCACCUGGACUGGUGCAGUCUCCUCCAAGACCCCAGGCUCCAGAAGCAGAUGAGGGAACGAGCAGAACAGAAGAACAGCAGAAUGGCAUGGCAGAGAGAAGAGAGGGACCAUCUGAACGCCAAGAGAAAUUCAGCUGGGGGAGGUCAGAGAGGACAUAGACCACAGGACAGCCAAGCUCCAGGGGAAGAUCAUCUUCCCACUCCAUCCCCUUUCCAGCUCCCCAUCCAUCCCGCUGAGAGCCACCUCCACCACUCAAUAAAACCCUGCAUUCACCAUC